GCUCCAAAGCUGUUAGAACACAUGGAUCUUUCAAGCUGUGAAUUUCUGUAAAUCAGACACUGCUUGAUCUCUGUCUAAAGGCAGAGACAGAGCAACGCAGCUGCUGUAGUUUGGUUAAAGGUAGGGAAAAUGCCUUUGCUUUUUCAUUUCAUCCCAUCCCACUAUUUACACUCUGUUCCAGUUGAGGUAUCUUUCAGUCUUUGUGCUGCCCCUGGAGAAGGAGAGCCUCAAGAAAUACUGGAGAAUGUGUUGAAGUGGGCCUGGAGCAAGGACACCGGAGAUGUGUCUUGGGAGAUGUCUGUGGCUGACUGAGUUCCUCUGCCAUCAAGCUGUCUUGUCGGUUUCCGAGCACGAAUGCGAGAAAUGAGAGGAUCAGGGCAUCCAAUAUUCCAAUGAUAGCCAGGAUGUACGCCCAGCGGACGGAGCAGGCCCCAAGAGUGUACUUGUCUGUCUUUUCCCCGCACAUCCGUUUUACUUCAUCUGAAUCCCAGCCAUCCGGGAAAAUCAUACAGCCGAGCACAAGACAGGCAGCUGAGAGAGAAAGACGAAAGGAGAAAUUGAGCAUUUUAUUUUACAAGAUAAGAAAACCAACGCUGAAACAGGGAAGCCCACAAAACUGCCUAGCAGAUAAGUGUGAUAUCUGCUUCCUAAAUCCGAGGUCAACCUCUGAGCUGCAACUACUCCUUCACUGCUGAGAUUUAAGGAAAAUAUAAGGACUCUGCAGCAGGAAAAAUUAUCAAGAAGUAAAUUGUAGAGCAAUAUGGCCUUCCCAAGCCUACAACACGCCAAGGUUCCCGUUCUCUCUGACACACAUAUUGGGUAAAGCUGGGAGCUGGAGGAAAAAGUGAAGAACACAGAGAAGAAAGUGGAAGAGAG
This is a long non-coding RNA of Alexandromys fortis (reed vole), 876 nucleotides long. RefSeq lists it as uncharacterized. The transcript is spliced from 5 exons. The record is from RefSeq and is a predicted model, not a curated record. NCBI's taxonomy places the organism in Eukaryota, Metazoa, Chordata, Mammalia, Rodentia, Cricetidae.